This 253-nucleotide ribosomal RNA is filed under the name uncultured bacterium. RNAcentral's name for it is "partial 16S ribosomal RNA". It matches the Rfam family "Bacterial small subunit ribosomal RNA", at positions 524 to 776 of the family's 1533-position model. The record is from RNAcentral.
UACAGAGGUCUCAAGCGUUGUUCGGAUUCAUUGGGCGUAAAGGGUGCGUAGGCGGCACGACAAGUCGGGAGUGAAAGCCCGGGGCUCAACCCCGGAAUGUCUCUCGAAACUGUCGAGCUAGAGUGCAGAAGAGGCAACUGGAAUUCCCAGUGUAGCGGUGAAAUGCGUAGAUAUUGGGAAGAACACCUGAGGCGAAGGCGGGUUGCUGGGCUGACACUGACGCUGAGGCGCGAAAGCCAGGGGAGCAAACGGG